AGCUAGUUGGUGAGGUAAUGGCCCACCAAGGCGACGAUCGGUAGCCGGACUGAGAGGUUGAACGGCCACAUUGGGACUGAGACACGGCCCAGACUCCUACGGGAGGCAGCAGUGGGGAAUAUUGCACAAUGGGGGAAACCCUGAUGCAGCGACGCCGCGUGGAGGAAGAAGGUCUUCGGAUUGUAAACUCCUGUUGUUGAGGAAGAUAAUGACGGUACUCAACAAGGAAGUGACGGCUAACUACGUGCCAGCAGCCGCGGUAAAACGUAGGUCACAAGCGUUGUCCGGAAUUACUGGGUGUAAAGGGAGCGCAGGCGGGCGAUCAAGUUGGAAGUGAAAUCCAUGGGCUCAACCCAUGAACUGCUUUCAAAACUGAUUGUCUUGAGUAGUGCAGAGGUAGGCGGAAUUCCCGGUGUAGCGGUGGAAUGCGUAGAUAUCGGGAGGAACACCAGUGGCGAAGGCGGCCUACUGGGCACCAACUGACGCUGAGGCUCGAAAGUGUGGGUAGCAAACAGGAUUAGAUACCCUGGUAGUCCACACCGUAAACGAUGAUUACUAGGUGUUGGAGGAUUGACCCCUUCAGUGCCGCAGUUAACACAAUAAGUAAUCCACCUGGGGAGUACGACCGCAAGGUUGAAACUCAAAGGAAUUGACGGGGGCCCGCACAAGCAGUGGAGUAUGUGGUUUAAUUCGACGCAACGCGAAGAACCUUACCAAGUCUUGACAUCCUGCGACGAUGCUAGAAAUAGUAUUUUCCUUCGGGACGCAGAGACAGGUGGUGCAUGGUUGUCGUCAGCUCGUGUCGUGAGAUGUUGGGUUAAGUCCCGCAACGAGCGCAACCCUUAUGGUCAGUUACUACGCAAGAGGACUCUGGCCAGACUGCCGUUGACAAAACGGAGGAAGGUGGGGAUGACGUCAAAUCAUCAUGCCCUUUAUGACUUGGGCUACACACGUACUACAAUGGCGUUAAACAAAGAGAAGCAAGACCGCGAGGUGGAGCAAAACUCAGAAACAACGUCCCAGUUCGGACUGCAGGCUGCAACUCGCCUGCACGAAGUCGGAAUUGCUAGUAAUCGUGGAUCAGCAUGCCACGGUGAAUACGUUCCCGGGCCUUGUACACACCGCCCGUCACACCAUGAGAGCCGGGGGGACCCGAAGUCGGUAGUCUAACCGCAAGGAGGACGCCGCCGAAGGUAAAACUGGUGAUUGGGGUGAAGUCGAACAAGGUAGCCGUAGGAGAACCUGCGGCUG
This 1251-nucleotide ribosomal RNA is filed under the name metagenome. RNAcentral describes it as "bacterial SSU rRNA". It matches the Rfam family "Bacterial small subunit ribosomal RNA", at positions 243 to 1520 of the family's 1533-position model. The record is from RNAcentral.